RNAcentral lists this ribosomal RNA (274 nucleotides) under uncultured bacterium. RNAcentral describes it as "partial 16S ribosomal RNA". It matches the Rfam family "Bacterial small subunit ribosomal RNA", at positions 523 to 796 of the family's 1533-position model. The record is from RNAcentral.
AUACGGAGGGUGCAAGCGUUGUUCGGAAUCACUGGGCGUAAAGGGCGCGCAGGCGGUUUGGUAAGUCAGAUGAGAAAGCCCACGGCUCAACCGUGGAAGUGCAUUUGAAACUGUCAGACUUGAGUACUAGAGGGGAAAGUGGAAUUCCCGGUGUAGAGGUGAAAUUCGUAGAUAUCGGGAGGAAUACCGGUGGCGAAGGCGACUUUCUGGCUAGAUACUGACGCUGAGGCGCGAAAGCGUGGGGAGCAAACAGGAUUAGAUACCCUAGUAGUCC